RNAcentral lists this long non-coding RNA (304 nucleotides) under Mytilus galloprovincialis (Mediterranean mussel). The record is from RNAcentral. Lineage: Eukaryota; Metazoa; Mollusca; Bivalvia; Mytilida; Mytilidae.
UGAGUUUGUGGUUGCAUGAAACUUUAUUUAUAAUGCUUUCCAGGAGAAAAUAUAUAAAUAAUAUAACAAAUGUAGGAAUCACGGGUGUCAUUUUGUUUAUUGGAAUAAAUGAUCGAGAAGAAAUAAUUAACGGUUGUCAAGAAUUGCGAUCAGAGCGUGAAUGAUUUGGUAUACAAUUAGGAUCGUGAAUGAAAUAUUAUGCUCCGUCAGUAAAUAAUCUUAUUUAAUGAAUUGUGAAAAAUAUUGGAAAAUAAAACUGUCUGUCAAAUUAGACCGUUAUUUUUCUCGUGUGAAUUGUUUCAUA